UACGAAGGGUGCGAGCGUUAUUCGGAAUGAUUGGGCGUAAAGGGUGCGCAGACGGCAUGUUAAGUCAACUGUUAAAUAUUCUGGCCUAACUGGAAUCCAGCAGUAGAAACUGGCGUGCUUGAGGGUGGAAGAGAGAAGUGGAAUUCUCGGAGUAGCGGUAAAAUGCGUAGAUCUCGAGAGGAACACCGAUGGCGAAGGCAGCUUCUUGGUCCAUACCUGACGUUCAUGCACGAAAGCGUGGGGAGCAAACAGG
RNAcentral lists this ribosomal RNA (253 nucleotides) under uncultured bacterium. RNAcentral describes it as "partial 16S ribosomal RNA". It matches the Rfam family "Bacterial small subunit ribosomal RNA", at positions 524 to 776 of the family's 1533-position model. The record is from RNAcentral.